GACGAACGCUGGCGGCGUGCUUAACACAUGCAAGUCGAACGCUGAAGCUUGGUGCUUGCACUGGGUGGAUGAGUGGCGAACGGGUGAGUAAUACGUGAGUAACCUGCCCUUGACUCUGGGAUAAGCCUGGGAAACUGGGUCUAAUACUGGAUACGACAUGCCACUGCAUGGUGGUGUGUGGAAAGGGUUUUACUGGUUUUGGAUGGGCUCACGCCCUAUCAGCUUGUUGGUGGGGUAAUGGCCUACCAAGGCGACGACGGGUAGCCGACCUGAGAGGGUGAUCGGCCACACUGGAACUGAGACGCGGUCCAGACUCCUGCGGGAGGCAGCAGUAGGGCAUCGUCCGCGAUGGGCGAAAGGCUGACGGAGCGGCGCCGCGUGAGUGAUGAAGGUCUUCGGAUCGUAAAACUCUGUUAUGAGGGAAGAACAAAUGUGGAAGUAACUAUGCACGUCUUGACGGUACCUAAUCAGAAAGCCACGGCUAACUACGUG
Molecule: ribosomal RNA, 492 nt
Filed under: uncultured bacterium
Lineage: Bacteria
Description: partial 16S ribosomal RNA
Rfam family: Bacterial small subunit ribosomal RNA
Source: RNAcentral